AACUUGAGAGUUUGAUCCUGGCUCAGAACGAACGCUGGCGGCAGGCUUAACACAUGCAAGUCGAACGCCCCGCAAGGGGAGUGGCAGACGGGUGAGUAACGCGUGGGAAUCUACCCAGUUCUACGGAACAACAGUUGGAAACGACUGCUAAUACCGUAUACGCCCUAAGGGGGAAAGAUUUAUCGGAAUUGGAUGAGCCCGCGUUGGAUUAGCUAGUUGGUGAGGUAAUGGCUCACCAAGGCGACGAUCCAUAGCUGGUCUGAGAGGAUGAUC
This 273-nucleotide ribosomal RNA is filed under the name Pelagibacterium sp. SCN 63-17. RNAcentral's name for it is "partial 16S ribosomal RNA". It matches the Rfam family "Bacterial small subunit ribosomal RNA", at positions 1 to 305 of the family's 1533-position model. Lineage: Bacteria; Pseudomonadati; Pseudomonadota; Alphaproteobacteria; Hyphomicrobiales; Devosiaceae. The record is from RNAcentral.